This is a long non-coding RNA of Nycticebus coucang (slow loris), 397 nucleotides long. RefSeq lists it as uncharacterized. NCBI's taxonomy places the organism in Eukaryota, Metazoa, Chordata, Mammalia, Primates, Lorisidae. The record is from RefSeq and is a predicted model, not a curated record. The transcript has 2 exons.
AAUGGAAGUUGCCACUCAAAUCCGGCAACAGUGGACAGGUGAGAGACCGAGGCCCAGAGAGGGCAUGGGGCUUGGCAAACCCACACAGCUCACUGCUGGGAUCUGGAGCUAAAACUCAGGCCUGCCAGUGAAAGAAAACAAGCAACCUCCUCCGUAGACACCUGGACAGCUUCAAGGGCAGAGUUUCUGGGAAACACCCUACCACAAACACCGAAAAUCCUGGCGGCACUAGAGAAGAGCCUCUGGCAGAAAGCUGGGCUCACUUCCCCAUUCCAGCUGUACUGAUAAAGCUAAUAAAAGCCUUUUGCAACUGAGUGGGAGCUGAGCUGACACCUGGUCAGUCAGUCUCCAUUCCACUUUUCCCCUCUAUUAAAUCAAGUCAUUCCUUGUUUCUGGA